Small nuclear RNA from Pan troglodytes (chimpanzee), 101 nucleotides. Lineage: Eukaryota; Metazoa; Chordata; Mammalia; Primates; Hominidae. The record is from Rfam.
GUGCUAGCUUCAGCAGCACAUACACUAAAAUUGGAACAAAACAGAGAUUAGCAUGACCCUUGUAAUUAAAUAAAAAUAGAAGAGAAAAUAAUAAAAAUUUG